Non-coding RNA from Podarcis lilfordi (Lilford's wall lizard), 79 nucleotides. Lineage: Eukaryota; Metazoa; Chordata; Lepidosauria; Squamata; Lacertidae. The record is from the annotation of a GenBank genome assembly.
GCCCUGAAUUGUGUUUAACUCCUAUCAGAACACGAGACUCUUAAUCUCAGGGUCGUGGUUUCAAGCCCCAUGUUGGGUU